GUCCUGUUGGUUUUAGAAGGCAAUGCAUGAAGAAGUAGGAAAAGAAGCUUUCUCUUUCUCUAAAAGUGGGGUACUGCAGGAAAUGGCCCUCUUUUGCUGAAAGCUAAAAUACAAGGAUCAAGCCAUUAGGAAAAGAGGACUUGCCCUUGAUAAAGCCAUGCAAGAUGUCUUGAAUCACUUCCCUGUCCUCCAUGUGCCUUAUUAGAGCUUCAGGAGGAUCUUCCCAGAAUGUUCCAUGAUCUUCCCAGGCCCAGAGGUGAGGCUGAC
This is a long non-coding RNA of Passer montanus (Eurasian tree sparrow), 267 nucleotides long. RefSeq lists it as uncharacterized. The record is from RefSeq and is a predicted model, not a curated record. Lineage: Eukaryota; Metazoa; Chordata; Aves; Passeriformes; Passeridae. The transcript is spliced from 3 exons.